Long non-coding RNA from Drosophila sechellia, 224 nucleotides. RefSeq lists it as uncharacterized. NCBI's taxonomy places the organism in Eukaryota, Metazoa, Arthropoda, Insecta, Diptera, Drosophilidae. The record is from RefSeq and is a predicted model, not a curated record. The transcript is spliced from 3 exons.
UAAUUUUGAAAUUAAUUCAUAUAUUCGCUCAUUUUCCUUCUCUAGUAACGAUUACGCUGUCCCUCUCUUUCGCACCCACGGCCCCGGGGUAUAUACAAUCGUACAUACCUAUCUAUAUGUAUACAUACAACUAAAUAUGUAUGUCCGUAUUGCAAAUUCACAAAGUUAAGCGGAAAUUACUGUGGCAGUUGGAGUCUUAAUAUCUUAGAAGUUAAGACAAUUAG